UUCGAUGAUACGCGAGGAACCUUACCCGGGCUCGAACGGCAGAGGAACAAUCCAGAGAUGGUGCGGCCCUUCGGGGCUUCUGUCGAGGUGCUGCAUGGUUGUCGUCAGCUCGUGCCGUGAGGUGUCGGCUUAAGUGCCAUAACGAGCGCAACCCUUGCCAUUAGUUACCAGCAUGUUGAGAUGGGGACUCUAGUGGGACUGCCACCGCAAGGUGAGAGGAAGGGGGGGAUGACGUCAAAUCAGCACGGCCCUUACGUCCGGGGCGACACACGUGUUACAAUGGGAGUUACAGAGGGGCACUACCUGGUGACAGGAUGGGAAUCUCGAAAAGCUCUCUCAGUCCGGAUCGGAGUCUGCAACCCGACUCCGUGAAGCUGGAUUCGCUAGUAAUCGCGCAUCAGCCAUGGCGCGGUGAAUACGUUCCCGGGCCUUGUACACACCGCCCGUCAAGCCAUGAAAGUCUGGGGCGCCUGAAGUUCGUGACCGCGAGGAGCGACCUAGGGCGAAACAGGUAAUUGGGGCU
RNAcentral lists this ribosomal RNA (523 nucleotides) under uncultured bacterium. RNAcentral's name for it is "bacterial SSU rRNA". It matches the Rfam family "Bacterial small subunit ribosomal RNA", at positions 950 to 1482 of the family's 1533-position model. The record is from RNAcentral.